CCUCCUGUCCGAGCUGCUCUCCCGCCAGCACCUGGCCUGCGUCAGUAACCUGUUCUGGAGCACCAAUCGGCAGCGAGCGUGGGCGAAGGAGGCGGAGCUUUCUCUGCCGGGUCACCGGGCUCUGCCGCGGGUCAACCUGCUGCUGAUUGGCUGUCUGAGAGAGGGGCGGGGCGGAGAGUGGAGGCUGCCGGACGCCAGCGGCAGCGUCAGGUGUGAGUGCCUGUCUCCUUCUCCUCUGUGGCUGAAUCAUCCCGUCUUCCUGCCUCACUGGAACUACAUCUCCCACAAUGCCCCGGGGCAGGACCAGGACCAGGCUGGAGGCUACUUGGAGCUGAUUGGUUCUCCUGUUGUGCUGGGUCCCGGUCCUGAGCUGGGAUUGGCUGCUGGUCCUGGAGGGAGGGGCGGGGCUUAGCAGAGCAGUUGGAGUCAGAGAGGCUGCUGGUUUACUACAGAACAGGUGUGUGACUCUGACGACUCUCUCCUCCACUUCCUGUUGUGUGUGUGCAGCAGUGACGUUGUUUGUCGUCAGCUCUCUCUCACCUGCAGGAAACAAAACAACCAGAGAUCAGAAGAGAAGAAGAGGUUCAGUCGAGGAGAGCGAGACUUCAUGACGAAGAUGACUCGUCCUUUACAGCUCACCUGUCUGCACAUCAACACCCACUGAUCUCACCUGUACACUGACAGGAAGUCAGCAACAGGAAGAGGAGGAGCCAGCUCACCUGCACUUCAGUUUUAAUGUUUAAUGUUGAUAUAAGUUAUUAAAUCUUCUUUUAUUUCACACCACACACUGUUGUCAUGGCAACAUCACAGUCUCUCAUAAACCCGAGUCAGGUAAUAUUAUAAUAAUCAUCAAAAAUAAAUAAUAAAUUACAGAAGCAGCAGGUAUUGAUUUAUUUCAAUAAAACCAUUUAUUAUUAUUAAAAUAAAUAAUGAAUUAAUUAAACUAUAUUUUAUAUUAUUAUAUCACAGAGCUGCAGUGUGAUAUAAUAACAGAAUAUAAUUUAUUUAUUGAUCUGUGGUUUAUAAUAUCUGUAAUGAUGAUGAACAACCAGCAGGGGGCGUUUCACUGCUGCUGAGCAUCAACGCUCUGCUGCCUAGCAACAGAUGACACAGUGAGCAGCUGCUUUUUAAUUGGCUGACUUAUUAACAUUAAUAAUAAUAUUAAGACACUUUAUUUCUAUAUUUAGUUUAUUAUUUGCUUUCAGUAAAUAAUUUUAAAAUAUUUGUGUUGAAUUUAUGAAACAUUAUAAAUAAAGUAAACAAACAGUUUGA
This is a long non-coding RNA of Dicentrarchus labrax (European seabass), 1272 nucleotides long. RefSeq lists it as uncharacterized. Lineage: Eukaryota; Metazoa; Chordata; Actinopteri; Moronidae. The transcript has 4 exons. The record is from RefSeq and is a predicted model, not a curated record.